RNAcentral lists this transfer RNA (76 nucleotides) under Candidatus Rokubacteria bacterium 13_1_40CM_4_69_5. Its description in RNAcentral is "tRNA-Lys". It matches the Rfam family "tRNA". From Rfam's summary of the family: Transfer RNA (tRNA) molecules are approximately 80 nucleotides in length. Their secondary structure includes four short double-helical elements and three loops (D, anti-codon, and T loops). RNAcentral also lists the same sequence under 5 other names. The record is from RNAcentral. Lineage: Bacteria; Candidatus Rokuibacteriota.
GAGCCGUUAGCUCAGUCGGUAGAGCACCUGACUUUUAAUCAGGGGGUCCAGGGUUCGAAUCCCUGACGGCUCACCA